CCAUUCACUAAAGCCAUUCCGGUGAAGGAGUUCAACGACUACAAGUCGAAGAUGGAUAUUAGAUACUGCACCGAUUGGCUUUAGGCCAAGUGGGAGAUUGUUGGGAAUAGUGUCCCAAAGCCAAUCGUCAGCCUGUUGACGGUUGUGCUCCUUUUGUAAUAGUACAUGAAUUAUAAAUAAAUAAAAGUUAUUUUGGUAUUUUUUCAUCACAAAUGUUUCAUCUUCUAAUGAACUCCUGUGUUGUGGUGAAGUCCUUAGGAUUAUUUAGACUCGACAAAGGAGGAUUUGUCGCUUAGUCCUUAAACCUGUUCG
This 312-nucleotide long non-coding RNA is filed under the name Elaeis guineensis (African oil palm). RNAcentral's name for it is "long non-coding RNA (EGUI_LNC001103)". Lineage: Eukaryota; Viridiplantae; Streptophyta; Magnoliopsida; Arecales; Arecaceae. The record is from RNAcentral.